Molecule: RNA transcript, 1510 nt
Organism: Dendrobium catenatum
Lineage: Eukaryota; Viridiplantae; Streptophyta; Magnoliopsida; Asparagales; Orchidaceae
Exons: 7
Source: RefSeq, a predicted model, not a curated record
GAAUUCAAGAUAUUUGUUUUAUUCAGAAGAGUUUCCUUUACCCGAGGUUUCAUGCUGGAUCUCAUCAUGUUCCCUAUACGUCAGUUUACUCCUGAGGUAUGCACUACAUAUUGUAUGAUGUGCCGCUUUCUUUUUUUCAUUCAUAAUUGGAAUACAAAACAUGUUCAUUUCUUGGUGAUAUUAUUGAAGAUACAGUGAGGGUUACAAUCUCACCAGUUGCAACAUGUGCUUGUUGUCUGAUAGAAAGAGGGCUUACCUUUCUCCUGAAGUUCAACAACAUCUAUGCUAGCAUCAAGGACAACAAUAGUUGGAAAAGCUUUAAUUCUCAAAGGUUGAUGUAUUCUACUCCGUCUCUCAUUCAAUUUCAAUUGUUGGUGAUGGAGCAAAUAAUGGUGGUGCACCUUAGCAGUAAAAGCGGCGGGAAGUAGCAUGGAGUGUUGAGAGACAACAGUGGUGACAACAUCGUUGAGCGGUGGCGCUGACCAGUGGAAGGUGGCUACAAGUGGGGUAGGUGAAGUUGUGGGCUGUGAGUUUUUCCUGCAUUUGAUCAUAUGAUAUUCUAAAUAAGUCUAUCAUAAAUGGCUCUAUUUAAGUCAUGCAGCUAACUUGUGUUCUGAUCCACUGUACAAUAUUUUUGCUUGGGAUCUUAAAGACAUACAAAUUAUGUCAAGAUUGUUGAUGUUUGAUCAAGGGUCAAGAUUUGUCCUCACAAGUGUAUGGUAUCAUCACCGUUUGAUCCUUGUUCGACAGGAUAGAUUUUGGAGGAUGAGUGCUUGUGCAAGCAUGUAUGUGUUGAGGGGAUCUUCUUUUUGGCUUUAAUCCUAAUUGUCCAUUAGAGAUCCAAUGGCUACAUAGAGGAGAGUUAUCAAGGUCAUUAGAUGAUGAUCUAAUGUCACUUGUACGUUGUCUUCAAGCUGUAAUUAAUAGAUUAAACUAGUUAAAUAAUCGAGCCAUUUUAGGUUUAAUUUAAAGGCUUUUUUAAAGCUUUGUCUGCUCAAGGAUUGAACAAGGAGAUGGAGCUAACGUCUGGAAAUGGCAAUGGUGGUAUACUUCACUGGGGCUCAAUGAUGAGGUAAACAUUCAUCCAUGUUGGCACUAGGCAGGUAUUUCAUGCUAGCAUAGGCAUCAGUGUCUAUGCCAAAAACAAAUGCAGGAAGAAGAAUUAUUGCUUAUACAGCGGAACUUUUUCUAUCAAGAGGAGCACACCAUCGCAAAAACUUUUAUUGCUUUGCUAAGUGCUGCAUAUGCCAGAAUCCUAUACCCAACAAACAUCAUAAUCAAAGCCAAAAUGCUCACCAUUAUACUGACCUGGCCUUCUACCUCAGCCUCUCUGCUGCUAAUCCUUUCAUGAUUAUGUGAUAAACCCUGCCAUUUCAUGCAGAUUGGAACUUUCUGCACAUAGAAUCCUCCAGUGAGAAGGAAAGCAAGCAUUGUUAUAGUAAUAAUUGUUGAUGCCUGCUUAGCAUUCAUGAUAACAGCUCCAAUUGCCAGCCCAAGUCCCUGCGCUACA